GACGAACGCUGGCGGCGUGCUUAACACAUGCAAGUCGAACGAAGAGCGAUGGAAGCUUGCUUCUAUCAAUCUUAGUGGCGGACGGGUGAGUAACGCGUAAUCAACCUGCCCUUCAGAGGGGGACACAGGUGGAAAGCGACGGCUAAUCCGGCUUACGACCGCACCACGGCGUCGAGAAGGAAGAUACGGCGGCCACUAUUUUAAAGCUCUCAUAUAAGCGUGGGUUUGCGUCUGAUUAGGAUGAGGGAGGGGUACGGGCCCACAAAGGAAAGGAUCAGUAGCCGGACGGAAAGGAUGAACGGCCACACUGGGACUGAGACACGGCCCAGACUCCUACGGGAGGGAGCAGGGCGGAAUCUUCCGCAAUGGACGAAAGUCUGACGGAGCAACGCCGCGUGAGUGAUGACGGCCGUCGGGUUGUAAAGCUCUGUUAAUCGGGAGGAAAGGUCUUCUUGCGAAUAGGUAGAAGAAUUGACGGUACCGGAAAAGAAAGCCACGGCUAACUACGUG
Molecule: ribosomal RNA, 510 nt
Filed under: uncultured bacterium
Lineage: Bacteria
Description: partial 16S ribosomal RNA
Rfam family: Bacterial small subunit ribosomal RNA
Source: RNAcentral